CUACGGGAGGCAGCAGUGGGGAAUAUUGCACAAUGGAGGAAACUCUGAUGCAGCAACGCCGCGUGGAGGAUGACACUUUUCGGAGCGUAAACUCCUUUUAUAUAGGAAGAAGAUGACGGUACUAUAUGAAUAAGCGCCGACUAACUCCGUGCCAGCAGCCGCGGUAAUAUGGAGGGCGCAAGCGUUACUCGGAAUCACUGGGCGUAAAGAGCGUGUAGGCGGAUUAAAAAGUCAGAAGUGAAAUCCUAUAGCUUAACUAUAGAACUGCUUCUGAAACUCUUAAUCUAGAAUAUGGGAGAGGUAGAUGGAAUUUCUGGUGUAGGGGUAAAAUCCGUAGAGAUCAGAAGGAAUACCGAUUGCGAAGGCGAUCUACUAGAACAUUAUUGACGCUGAGACGCGAAAGCGUGGGGAGCAAACAGGAUUAGAUACCCCAGUAGUC
This 439-nucleotide ribosomal RNA is filed under the name uncultured bacterium. RNAcentral describes it as "partial 16S ribosomal RNA". It matches the Rfam family "Bacterial small subunit ribosomal RNA", at positions 339 to 795 of the family's 1533-position model. The record is from RNAcentral.